This 2548-nucleotide ribosomal RNA is filed under the name Sphaerospora sp. ex Silurus glanis SP-2018. Its description in RNAcentral is "partial 18S ribosomal RNA". It matches the Rfam family "Eukaryotic small subunit ribosomal RNA". The record is from RNAcentral. Lineage: Eukaryota; Metazoa; Cnidaria; Myxozoa; Bivalvulida; Sphaerosporidae.
CGGGGUAGCGUGCAUUUAUUCCAUCCAAAACCGACACUGCCUGAUCUAAGCGCAGGUUGGCUGUAGGGCGUUCACGCGUCCUGCUUUCCGCCUGCGUUCACGGCUCAGGCAUGUAUACGGUGAUUCUGAAUAACUGAUGCUGAUCGUACAGGGCCACGGUGCCCACGAUAUUUCAAUCAAAUUCCUGCCCUAUCAUAUUUGUUGGUAAGGUAGCGGCCUACCAAGGUGACGACGGGUAACGGGGAAUCAGGGUUCGAUUCCGGAGAGGGAGCCUGAGAAACAGCUACCACGUCCAAGGAUGGCAGCAGGCGCGCAAACUAUCCAAUCCAGAUUAUGGGAGAUGGUGACGAGACAUAUUGGAACUCACCAGCACUGCUGGUCGAGUUACCAGAUAGACUACAAUUUAAAACAGUGAUAAAAUAAUCAACAGGAGGGCAAGUCUGGUGCCAGCAGCCGCGGUAAUACCAGCUCCUGUGGCCUAUAUGGUCGUUGUUGCGGUUAAAAAGCUCGUAGUUGAAAUACGGCGCGCUCGAAAGCUGCAUCGGUGGUAAGCCUGCCCAGGGCGACGGCAAUAGCCGAUCCCCUGUGAUGCAGUUUGUGGCCUGGCGUGUCAGCGCAGUGGUGUUGGGCGUGCGUGGCGCCAGCUGUUGUGUGUUCACUCAUGCAGCAGCUGGUGAUUCUGUGCGUCCGCUAAGGCACCGCUGCCGGCGUCAGGUCAUCUAUUACCGCUGAGACGGCAUUAGAGCGUGCUUUCUCGUCCAGCCUCCGUGAUCAUAUCCUUCAUUGGGUACACGGUGUCGCUGAGCGAAUUGUGCCUUGAGUAAAAUAGAGUGCUCAAAGCAGGCAAGGCAUGUAACAGUGUCAUUGCCCGUAUACUCCAGCAUGGAACGAAUGUCCAAUUGCUUGAACCACCCUGCGGCCAGGUUCGUUGGUUGAGCGCAAGCUCGGUGCGUACGUAAAGAGCUCACCCCGGUGAGAGAUGCUGGCGUGCGAACCCCAGGUCGUAUCCGCAUGAGUGUGUACCCGGUGAUAACAUUGGCGGGACCAGAGUUCGAUUAUGUGUAAACGGUCACCGCGAGAUUGUCACAGGUCCCAUGCACUGCCGACCCGGCAGCGACGUGCGCACGUAGGUGCCACACGCUUAACGGCGUGUGUGCCUGCGGUCAAUGUGCGCGUCGCUCCGGGCCAGGAUCUUUGUGCAUGGCGAUGAGCUGUGAGCUCGCGGGCCGGCUCUGUGUAUGUGUGGCGCGGGCGUAUGAAUCCCGGCCCAUGCCAAGCAUGGACCACCGGGCGUACGUAUCAAACUGUGCGCACAUUUUCACUCGCCCCGGGAUCGAUGCCACUCGUGCGUAAGGGUAUCGGUUAACAGAGACAUUUGGGGGCAUCAGUAUUUGGCCGCGAGAGGUGAAAUUCUUAGACCGGUCAAAGACUAACAAUUGCGAAAGCAUUUGCCAAAGAUGUUUUCAUUAAUCAAGAACGAAGGUUGGAGGAUCGAAGACGAUUAGAUACCGUCGUAGUUCCAACUGUAAACUAUGCCAACCAGGGCUCAGGCCGGAUCGUUUAUAUUGAAAUUACACUUCAACAUACUGAUCCAGGUUGGGCCCCCCGGGAAACCUAAAGUUUUUGGGUUCCGGGGGGAGUAUGGUUGCAAGGCUGAAACUUAAAGGAAUUGACGGAAGGGCACCACCAGGAGUGGAGCCUGCGGCCUAAUUUGACUCAACACGGGGAAUCUCACCAGGUCCGGACAUCGGCAGGAUUGACAGACUGAUAGAUCUUUCAUGAUUCGGUGAAUGGUGGUGCAUGGCCGUUCUUGGUUGGUGGAGUGAUUUGUCUGGUUUAUUCCGUGAACGAGCGCAACCACAGCCUUUAUUUUGGCCGUACCAAGUAUUGCCAUCCGGCCCGGCUGGUACGCGAAGUCUCCCUGUGCUGUUGGCAUGGCUGUGCGCCCGCGGUGCUGCGGUGCGUGCAUGCGGUGUGCCCGGGAUUGUCUGUCUGUUGGAUGCAGUUGCAUAUCCCAAACGGUGGGGCAGCAUACCGGUAGCUCGCUGGCAGUGCAACAGAUGGCGCUCGUGACGAUGCGUCAGACUGGUGCUGUACAGCUGCCGGAGUUGCUGUUCUACCGGUGUGGCUGUGUCCGGCAGCAGGUAACCUGGUAUAUCGCCGUGUGCGCGUGCCGAUCACAGUGCUGUGGGCGCGGGCCGUGUCAGUAUGCAGGGAGAUGUGCCAGUUGAUGGCCGGUGUGUGUUGGUGCGCCUUCAUAGAGGGACUACCGGUGGCAAACCGGGGGAAGUGUGGCAAUAGCAGGUCAGUGAUGCCCUUAGAUGUUCUGGGCUGCACGCGCGCUACAAUGGCAAUGACAGCGAGUGUCUGCAUCGAAAGAUGUGGGUAAUCUUUUAAUCAUUGCCGUGCUGGGGAUUGAGCCUUGAAAUUAUUGCUCAUGAACCUGGAAUUCCUCGUAAGUACGAGUCACCAGCUCGUGCUGAAUACGUCUYUGCCCUUUGUACACACCGCCCGUCGCUACUACCGAUUGAAUGAUUCGGUGAGGGCA